Long non-coding RNA from Vicia villosa (hairy vetch), 1190 nucleotides. RefSeq lists it as uncharacterized. The record is from RefSeq and is a predicted model, not a curated record. NCBI's taxonomy places the organism in Eukaryota, Viridiplantae, Streptophyta, Magnoliopsida, Fabales, Fabaceae. The transcript is spliced from 3 exons.
AUGAUAUUUUAUUUAAUAUUAUCAAAAAUGAUUUUUAGUAAAAUUUUCAUAACUGCCUAAAAUACUGAGUUCAUAUUGUUUUCUUUCAAACAAAAAUAUUUCUCUUCAAAUCCCCAAAACGGUCUCUCUUCUAUUCGCGUCGUCUUCUCACCUAAACCCUAAAUUUCACUUCUCACCCAAAAUCAUAAAUUUCAAAUGGUUUCUUCGCCACAUACAGCAAGGAAAACUAAAGUCAACCGAAAGCUCAAUUCUUUUGUCUCUAUCUCUGUUUUCAUCUCCUAUAUAUUUCAAAAGAGGUCAUUUUCUCCUAAGCUGCAAGGAAGACGAAAAGCAAAGGGUUUCUACACUAUCGUGAUCUGUCUAUUGAGGGUUAGAUUCCUCCAUCUUCAAUCAAAGCUGAACUUCUUCUUGGGGCAAGACAAAACUAAACAACUAUUGAUAUGUGGUCUCUUGGUUGUGUAAUGACCUAACUAUUUUAUCAACUGUACAAGGUAUAUGCUAAGUGUCAAUUAAGAGAUAGAAAGUAUGCUUUUAUUUUUCUCUUAUUGAUUUUGUUUCCUUGUGCCUAACCACUUUUAUUAUAGUGGUUGCUUUAUUACACUAUUCUUAUCUGUCUGCCUCUGUUCUUCCCGGCUUCCACUUAGGGUGGUGAUGGAUAGCCUAUCUGGUCUCCCUAAGCGACUAUGACUAGUUAUACAAUUUUCUUAAUUUUUAUUAAAAAUCUAAAUGUUUCUUUCAGGUAUAAUAUGUUAUCUAAAAAUUUUCAGGUAUAUUCUUCGCCUGAGCUUCAUGAAAUAAUUUGCUAAUAAUUCUUAAUUUAAGUAUUAAGAAUAACAAAUUUAAUUAGAGCAUAAGUAUAUAAUGUAUAAGUUAUUAGUAAGUUUAAUUUCUUAAGAUUUGGUGUAAUAUUUUUUAGUUUUGUAACAUGUUAUUUUGUCUUGUUUAUUUGUCUUGAAACUAAUCUCAUUCAUAUGAUUUUUAAGAAUGGGGAAGGAGGAGUCAAUUGAUGUAUAAAGUAUAAUGGUGUGUUCUUCCUCCUAUGCCUCCCAAACAACAACUUAUGGAAAGGGACAAUUUCUGGUUAUUCUAUUGUUGGGGAAAUUGAAAUUAAGACUAGUAUUUUGUACCCAAAUUAAAUAGAGAACUAAAGCACCAAUAGUAUAUGGAUAUGGGAAUACAAAAAACCUUCG